UUCCACAGCCAUAUCAACCUGCAGCCAAAGACUGGUUACUCACUGAACUAAAGCAGGGCUGAGCCUGGUUAGAUGGGAGACCGCAUGGGAAUACUAGGUUGCUGUUGGAA
RNAcentral lists this ribosomal RNA (110 nucleotides) under Danio rerio (zebrafish). Lineage: Eukaryota; Metazoa; Chordata; Actinopteri; Cypriniformes; Danionidae. The record is from RNAcentral.